Molecule: long non-coding RNA, 424 nt
Organism: Hypanus sabinus (Atlantic stingray)
Lineage: Eukaryota; Metazoa; Chordata; Chondrichthyes; Myliobatiformes; Dasyatidae
Exons: 4
Source: RefSeq, a predicted model, not a curated record
AAUGUGAUUUGAUAACAGGAUGGUAAUGGUAACUGGACAUCCAAGACCAAAGAUAACGUCUUGUAUCAAGUAUUUCUUUAACUGAGUGAAUUGAGGUAUUCAAGAACAAACAGUGCAAAGACUGAAGCUACUGCAAGCUGGCUAAAUUCAAUUCCAAAUCAGAUGCUGCGUGGCCUGCUGAGUUUCUCCAGCAUUUCAGGUUUAAUUAUCAAGGGAUGCAUCCUCAUUGAUGGAGACAGGGAGCUUUUUGGACAUUCAGCCACUUUAACCUAACAUUACCAUGUUGAUCUGUUGCAGUUUGAUACCUGUUUCCUCCCAGUGAAUCUUGAAGAAGCCUUGUCAGUUUGGAAUCUCUGUAUGGCACAUGAUGGCUCUUCUUGCUUUGGUCUCCCAGUGCACUGAUAACAUUUCCCAAUGACAGCUU